CUUUUCAUUCCCGUUGUUAUGGAGGGCCACAUCUGCCAGAGCCUGGAGUCUGCGAAGGCCGGGACCCGGUUCCCCGGCCCACAGUGGGGGUGUGCAAACCCGAGAGAACUGGUCGCUGAAACCUCUACAACUUAGUUGACCGUAACUGCCAGAGCCCUGCCCUGAAUUCCUGUCCUUACUCCCUCUUUAAGAUUGCGUACCCACUGCAGAGUGCUGAAGACGGGGUAGCCACGAGGUUGCAAAUUCGUGAAGAAUCAGCAUCAUGUUUGGCAGCUGAGUAUUGGAGCCAGGAGCCUGCCAUGAGGUUAUAUUCCCAGAGGAUGUCAGUCCCAAGGACCAGUAGCUGCCAUCAGUUUGGAUUCUGAAAACUAACUGGCAUCAACACUGGGUGUAGAAACAUGCUUGCCUUAUGUAUCAGAGGACAUGCUCAGCAGAUCCAAGAGAUAUAUUUGGCAACUUUUUCUAGAAAAGGCACAUUGGGUAUCAUUCAUUACAUUCUUGAGUUUUUUUGGGUUUUUUUUUUUUUUUUUGAGACAGUCUUGCUGUAUUGCCCAGGCUGGAGUGUGGUGGCACAAUCACAGCUCAUUGCAUCCUCAAUCACCCAGGCCUAAGCAAUCCUCCCACCUUGUAGCUGGGACUACAGCUCACAGCACACCUGGCUAAAAUUUUUUUUUUGUUGAGACGGAUUCUCUAUGUUGCCCAGGCUGGUCUCAGGCUCCUGGGCUCAGAUGGUCCUCCUGCCUCAGCUUCCAAAGGCACAGGCCAAGUUGUAGCUUUGUCCCUUGCCAUCAUGCCCAACAAGAGGUUCUAUACCUUUUAAUGAAUUGACUUUCAUAAAUUGGUUAUGUUGGUGGGCAAAGUUCUUUAAGCUGGAAAUUGUAAAUUCCUCCUGAAAUGUUUUUUCAUGCAGUUACCAUGAACUAAUACUACAAUAAAGGAUGGUCUUGGGUGUCAAUUCUU
This 960-nucleotide long non-coding RNA is filed under the name Homo sapiens (human). Its description in RNAcentral is "HSALNT0388715". The record is from RNAcentral. Lineage: Eukaryota; Metazoa; Chordata; Mammalia; Primates; Hominidae.